RNAcentral lists this unclassified non-coding RNA (254 nucleotides) under Candidatus Woesebacteria bacterium. RNAcentral's name for it is "contains 16S-23S intergenic spacer region". It matches the Rfam family "Bacterial small subunit ribosomal RNA", at positions 524 to 776 of the family's 1533-position model. The record is from RNAcentral. Lineage: Bacteria; Candidatus Woeseibacteriota.
UACGUAGGCGGCAAGCGUUAUCCGGAUUUACUGGGCGUAAAGCGAGUGUAGGCGGUUUUUUAAGUCUUUUUUGAAAGCGUCCCGCUCAACGGGAUUGUUGGAAAAGAUACUGGAAAACUUGGAGUCAUAUAGGGAUAACUGGAACUCUCGGUGUAGGGGUGAAAUCCGAUGAUAUCGAGAGGAACACCAAGGGCGAAGGCAGGUUAUUGGAUAUGUACUGACGCUGAGACUCGACAGCUCGGGGAGCGAAAGGG